GGAGAGAUGGUUGAGCGGACUAAAGCGGCGGAUUGCUAAUCCGUAGUAUGGAUUAUCCAUACCGAGGGUUUGAAUCCCUCUCUCUCUG
Molecule: non-coding RNA, 88 nt
Organism: Picea glauca (white spruce)
Lineage: Eukaryota; Viridiplantae; Streptophyta; Pinopsida; Pinales; Pinaceae
Source: Rfam